AAAACCUCCUGGCGCGUAUCUCAGCUCAGCUCAGCUCAGAUCUUCAGGUGUGUCUGUGUGUGUGUGAGAACAGAAACUUUCAUCAUGAUUAAAGUUGCAGCGGUGUGUAUGGUGCUGUUUGUGGCCGUCAUGCUUCUCUCGACACAGGUUUAUGCUCAAAAUGACAAAAAUCUUACAAUCACGGCUGCUACUACUACUUCUACUACUAAAAGUGCAGGAUUCAUGGUGCUGCCCUGCAUCCUCAGCCUCAUCCUCCCCACCUGCCUGCUUAUGAGUCUGUUCCACGAGUUCCACUGCUGAACCACUUGCACAGACCGUGCAAAGAUGACUGGAACCACACCCAAAGAGCAACGCUUUUUAAAUUCUAGUUCAGGUGGAAAUGAUUUGUUAUGACCUACCUGAGAUCUUCUUUCAACGAAUUACAUAAUGCUAUCCUUUAAGGAUCUACACAAUGAAGCUCUCCUGGAUUUUUUUAUCUCCCAAAUUCUCAGUUCCUCUGAUGGCCAGGAAAUCAAACUGCACUGGUUGAGACAAAUCAAAAAUUAACCAGAUCACGCUGCAUUUCCUCGCCUUAUUCUUACACACCUUUAUGCCCUUAUCAAAUGACAUUUAGUCAUUGAAUGCCAUUUUAAACAAAUAAUUUAUUUUAAGUAGCUCUUUUUGUAUAGAUCUUUAAUAUUGAUAUAAUUGUAAAUGUCCACAAUAAAAAGUUGGUACUUCAUUGA
Molecule: long non-coding RNA, 725 nt
Organism: Clarias gariepinus (North African catfish)
Lineage: Eukaryota; Metazoa; Chordata; Actinopteri; Siluriformes; Clariidae
Exons: 2
Source: RefSeq, a predicted model, not a curated record